Molecule: ribosomal RNA, 490 nt
Filed under: uncultured bacterium
Lineage: Bacteria
Description: partial 16S ribosomal RNA
Rfam family: Bacterial small subunit ribosomal RNA
Source: RNAcentral
AUUGAACGCUGGCGGCAGGCCUAACACAUGCAAGUCGAACGGUAACAGGAAGCAGCUUGCUGCCUUGCUGACGAGUGGCGGACGGGUGAGUAAUGUCUGGGAAACUGCCCGAUGGAGGGGGAUAACUACUGGAAACGGUAGCUAAUACCGCAUAACGUCGCAAGACCAAAGAGGGGGACCUUAGGGCCUCUUGCCAUCGGAUGUGCCCAGAUGGGAUUAGCUAGUAGGUGGGGUAACGGCUCACCUAGGCGACGAUCCCUAGCUGGUCUGAGAGGAUGACCAGCCACACUGGAACUGAGACACGGUCCAGACUCCUACGGGAGGCAGCAGUGGGGAAUAUUGCACAAUGGGCGCAAGCCUGAUGCAGCCAUGCCGCGUGUAUGAAGAAGGCCUUCGGGUUGUAAAGUACUUUCAGCGGGGAGGAAGGGGGUAAAGUUAAUACCUUUGCUCAUUGACGUUACCCGCAGAAGAAGCACCGGCUAACUCCGUG